Molecule: ribosomal RNA, 427 nt
Filed under: uncultured bacterium
Lineage: Bacteria
Description: partial 16S ribosomal RNA
Rfam family: Bacterial small subunit ribosomal RNA
Source: RNAcentral
UGGGGAAUAUUGGACAAUGGGCGAAAGCCUGAUCCAGCCAUGCCGCGUGUGUGAAGAAGGUCUUCGGAUUGUAAAGCACUUUAAGUUGGGAGGAAGGGCAUUAACCUAAUACGUUAGUGUUUUGACGUUACGGACAGAAUAAGCACCGGCUAACUCUGUGCCAGCAGCCGCGGAACUACAGAGGGUGGAAGCGUUAAUCGGAAUUACUGGGCGUAAAGCGCGCGUAGGUGGUUUGUUAAGUUGGAUGUGAAAUCCCCGGGCUCAACCUGGGAACUGCAUUCAAAACUGACUGACUAGAGUAUGGUAGAGGGUGGUGGAAUUUCCUGUGUAGCGGUGAAAUGCGUAGAUAUAGGAAGGAACACCAGUGGCGAAGGCGACCACCUGGACUAAUACUGACACUGAGGUGCGAAAGCGUGGGGAGCAAACA